Molecule: RNA transcript, 1295 nt
Organism: Theobroma cacao (cacao)
Lineage: Eukaryota; Viridiplantae; Streptophyta; Magnoliopsida; Malvales; Malvaceae
Gene: RPE
Gene name: D-ribulose-5-phosphate-3-epimerase
Source: RefSeq, a predicted model, not a curated record
UGUCUCUUAGAAUCUGGGGCUCCAAGUCUUGCUGCUAUUGGUGAGAUUUUAACACACAACAAAGCUUUGACUACCUAACCUUUAAAAUCCCCUGCUCUAAAGAGUCUUUUAGUUGAGAUAGAAAAGAGAGGGAAAAGAGAAGAAGAAGAUGUCAACAGCUUCUUCAUUGUGUUCAUCAACUCAGGUUAAUGGCUUUGGCGGGGGACUUAGGCUUCUAAGGACCCAUCUUUCUCAACCCAAGACACUUACCUUUACGAGGAGGAAAAUUGCUACAGUAGUGAAGGCAACUGCUCGAGUUGAUAAAUUCUCAAAAAGCGAUAUCAUUGUUUCUCCAUCUAUUCUCUCUGCUAAUUUCGCAAAGUUGGGGGAGCAGGUGAAAGCAGUGGAAGUAGCAGGCUGUGAUUGGAUCCAUGUUGAUGUAAUGGAUGGCCGAUUUGUUCCAAAUAUUACAAUUGGACCUAUUGUGGUUGAUGCCUUACGACCUGUGACUGAUCUUCCGCUGGAUGUGCAUUUGAUGAUUGUUGAACCAGAGCAGCGAGUUCCAGAUUUUAUUAAGGCUGGAGCAGACAUAGUCAGUGUUCACUGUGAGCAAUCUUCAACCAUCCAUUUGCAUCGUACACUUAAUCAAAUAAAAGGUCUAGGCGCUAAAGCUGGAGUUGUCCUAAACCCUGCUACCCCACUUAGUACAAUAGAAUAUGUACUUGAUGUGGUUGAUCUAGUCCUGAUUAUGUCGGUCAACCCUGGCUUUGGUGGGCAGAGCUUUAUUGAGAGUCAAGUCAAGAAAAUCUCUGACUUGAGAAGAAUGUGUGCAGAAAAGGGAGUAAACCCCUGGAUUGAAGUGGACGGCGGAGUUGGUCCUAAAAAUGCAUAUAAGGUUAUUGAGGCUGGAGCUAAUGCUUUAGUUGCUGGUUCAGCUGUGUUUGGAGCCAAAGAUUAUGCUGAAGCUAUUAGAGGAAUCAAAACCAGCAAAAAGCCAGAAGCAGUGGCUGUGUGAUUUAUGACCGCCAAAGAUCUGAUUGGCUCAAAUGUGUGAUAUCUGUAUUUAGAUUCCCAUAUAAUAUGUCAUGGUUAUUUAUAAGCAAUCGCUACUAUCAUAUUGUCAGAUUGGUCAUGAUGCCAAAUGAUUGAUACAUAAAAGAAAUCAAGGCUGUGGUAAGAUUGCUGUUUUGAAGCCUAAUUGGUGUAUCAUGUCUAUUUUAGGAAUUCAAUGAUUCAUAUGUAUUGCAAUCAUUUUGUAAUGAACUGCAAGUGCCAUUCAUUUCAGUCAAAUAAAGCAAUCUUCCAUUUCUGUUCUU